GCUGGGCAUAGUGGCGCAUGCCUGUAAUCCUAGUGGCUCGGGAGGCUGAGGCAGGAAGAUCUCGAGUUCAAAUCCAGCCUCAG
This 83-nucleotide small RNA is filed under the name Marmota monax (woodchuck). Lineage: Eukaryota; Metazoa; Chordata; Mammalia; Rodentia; Sciuridae. The record is from RNAcentral.